GUGGUCUCUCUUCCCUUUUCCCAGUGACCACACAUCCAUGUCAGGCUUGUGCCGAUGUCCAGAGCAGGGUGGUGAAGGUUUGGGGACAUCACUGUCAUUGUGUGUGACCCUCUGAACUGGGCAGGACUCAUCCAGGUCCUCCACAGCACUGGGAGGGCCUUAGCCCAAGGGGAGGGGGACAGGCCUUGGGGACAGUCCCGUGCCCCGCAGAGCCCCUUCCCUGCUGGCAGGGCGGUUUGUACGCUGGCAGGGGGAGCAGCAGCUAAACUAGUAAAUAAGCAAAUGCCCGUCUCCUCCCUGCGUGGCUUCCCCUGUAUUUAUUCCCAUGUUUCUCCUGCUGUCCCCCUGACAGCCGGGAUGGAGCUGUCAUGCCUCGGUGGCCACCGGAGCCAGCGCCCGAUCCCGCGCUCACGGAGGGGCUGCACACGGAACCCCCGCCCAGCAAAACGGGGAGGAAAAUCAAAUCCAAUUACGUGCCAUUGAUUUCUUUCCAAAUUUGCCUCUAAUACACUUUUUGACUACUCCUUGAUUUUUUUUUUAAAUUUUUUUUUCCCCGUUUUCCCUUUCUCCUCUCCCUCCCCUGCCCACUCACACGGCAGCAGCCUCCUCCCGGGAAGCAAGUGGCUGCAGCCCCUGCACUGGACACGCCGAGCCCUGGAGCAGUUUAGGAGAUCAUAGCCCAGGUUUUUUUGCUCUUAAUAGGUGGUAGGGACGAUCCGUGAGCUGAACCUCUUCCUAAGGGACAGUGAAGCCGUGGAACAGGGUGAUGGUGAAGUGGGCUCUGUGUGCUCACCAGGGGAAGGAGGAUGGACUCUCACUCCAAGGAAGUCAAUUAGAAGUCAUCCUGGAAAUCAGCCUCUCCUUCAGUCGCCUUUGUUCCAAAUCCAGCCAAACCAAAAGGCUGCCUUGUUCCAGUGCCACCGAGGCAAUUUCUUUUGCUGUAAGGACCUGGCAGUGGCAAUGACAGUGAAAGCAAUAAAACCCUCCCGUGGCAGAUGUCUGUAUUCGGGUGCCAUGUCCUGGAUGCUGUGCUGGAGAGGAGAGCUGCUGCUCCUCCAGGGAUGGAGAAAAACUUCCCAACACAAAGAGCCUUUCAGAGAAGGAGUUGACUGAGGAGGGUGCUGGACUCCCACACCAAAAGUUUCAAGGCCAUGAAGGCUUUGAGGAUCACGGACAACGUAAAGCCAAGGUUCAGUACCAUCCUCUCCUCUCGCUGUGCUGGGGGGUCAGAGCAAGAGGUGUUGGCUGAACCUCAGCACGGACAAGAGCACGUUGUAUCCCCACCUCCCAGCCCAGGAGUUGGUGUUUGCAUCAACCAGCUCUGCACAGCAUUUCAGUGAGCUGACCAAACUUAAAGGGAAGUACCGUGGGUGAAAAAAUUAGGGGAGAAAAAGCAGAAAAUGCUGCCAUGUGGCCCAUUUUGGGGGGAUAUUUUGCUUUGUGGCUUCAGAUCAUCCUCCAUUGGUGCCUCCAUCCCUUGUGCCCACACCUCAGGCUGGAGGAAUGGCUCCAGCACCACCAUCCCACUGUGCCCUGCCCGGCCCUAAUUGGCCUGUUUGUUUGGCAAUAAGUGAUUCCUGCCUGUCUCGGGGUGGAUUGUUUUUCACACCAUUAAAUGAAGUUCUGCCGUAUUGAUCCCUGUUUUUCCAAUUUGAAGCCUGAAAAGUGAUGAAGACAUUUUCUUGUUUUCUCAUGUACUUUUCCCCUCAGUUCAUUUAGGUGACCUGUCUUUAGUUCCUUGCUCUGCUCGCUGUAAUUGCUUCUUCAGAGUAAUGUUGCACCGUGAGCUCGGUGCCGCAGCCGGGGCGGGUUUUUAUGGAAGGAUGAAGGAAGGCGAGGCUGGAGUCAUCAAGCAAUGCUAACUGUGCAAGGUUUGUCACAAAUGACAUCUCAAUAGCAGCCUCUCUUGCUGGAACCUCACUAAAACAGCACAGAGGGUGAGGGCAGGACCUCGGGACAGUUUUGUCUCUUUGGGAUGUUAAUAUUUUGCACAAGGGAUGGAAAUGUUG
Pipra filicauda (Wire-tailed manakin) is the source of this 2009-nucleotide long non-coding RNA. RefSeq lists it as uncharacterized. The transcript is spliced from 4 exons. The record is from RefSeq and is a predicted model, not a curated record. NCBI's taxonomy places the organism in Eukaryota, Metazoa, Chordata, Aves, Passeriformes, Pipridae.